Molecule: ribosomal RNA, 490 nt
Filed under: uncultured bacterium
Lineage: Bacteria
Description: partial 16S ribosomal RNA
Rfam family: Bacterial small subunit ribosomal RNA
Source: RNAcentral
AUUGAACGCUGGCGGCACGCUUUACACAUGCAAGUCGGACGGCAGCACAGAGAAGCUUGCUUCUUGGGUGGCGAGUGGCGCACGGGUGAGUAAUAUAUCGGAACGUACCGAGUAAUGGGGGAUAACUAAUCGAAAGAUUAGCUAAUACCGCAUAUUCUCUGAGGAGGAAAGCAGGGGACCUUCGGGCCUUGCGUUAUUCGAGCGGCCGAUAUCUGAUUAGCUAGUUGGUGGGGUAAAGGCCUACCAAGGCGACGAUCAGUAGCGGGUCUGAGAGGAUGAUCCGCCACACUGGGACUGAGACACGGCCCAGACUCCUACGGGAGGCAGCAGUGGGGAAUUUUGGACAAUGGGCGCAAGCCUGAUCCAGCCAUGCCGCGUGUCUGAAGAAGGCCUUCGGGUUGUAAAGGACUUUUGUCAGGGAAGAAAAGGCUGUUGCUAAUAUCAAUAGCUGAUGACGGUACCUGAAGAAUAAGCACCGGCUAACUACGUG